AUUGAACGCUGGCGGCAUGCCUUACACAUGCAAGUCGAACGGCAGCACGGAGCUUGCUCUGGUGGCGAGUGGCGAACGGGUGAGUAAUAUAUCGGAACGUACCCUGGAGUGGGGGAUAACGUAGCGAAAGUUACGUUAAUACCGCAUACGAUCUAAGGAUGAAAGUGGGGGAUCGCAAGACCUCAUGCUCGUGGAGCGGCCGAUAUCUGAUUAGCUAGUUGGUAGGGUAAAAGCCUACCAAGGCAUCGAUCAGUAGCUGGUCUGAGAGGACGACCAGCCACACUGGAACUGAGACACGGUCCAGACUCCUACGGGAGGCAGCAGUGGGGAAUUUUGGACAAUGGGCGCGAGCCUGAUCCAGCAAUGCCGCGUGAGUGAAGAAGGCCUUCGGGUUGUAAAGCUCUUUUGUCAGGGAAGAAACGGUGGAGGCUAAUAUCCUCUGCUAAUGACGGUACCUGAAGAAUAAGCACCGGCUAACUACGUGCCAGCAGCCGCGGUAAUACGUAGGGUGCAAGCGUUAAUCGGAAUUACUGGGCGUAAAGCGUGCGCAGGCGGUUUUGUAAGUCUGAUGUGAAAUCCCCGGGCUCAACCUGGGAAUUGCAUUGGAGACUGCAAGGCUAGAAUCUGGCAGAGGGGGGUAGAAUUCCACGUGUAGCAGUGAAAUGCGUAGAUAUGUGGAGGAACACCGAUGGCGAAGGCAGCCCCCUGGGUCAAGAUUGACGCUCAUGCACGAAAGCGUGGGGAGCAAACAGGAUUAGAUACCCUGGUAGUCCACGCCCUAAACGAUGUCUACUAGUUGUCGGGUCUUAAUUGACUUGGUAACGCAGCUAACGCGUGAAGUAGACCGCCUGGGGAGUACGGUCGCAAGAUUAAAACUCAAAGGAAUUGACGGGGACCCGCACAAGCGGUGGAUGAUGUGGAUUAAUUCGAUGCAACGCGAAAAACCUUACCUACCCUUGACAUGGCUGGAAUCCCCGAGAGAUUGGGGAGUGCUCGAAAGAGAACCAGUACACAGGUGCUGCAUGGCUGUCGUCAGCUCGUGUCGUGAGAUGUUGGGUUAAGUCCCGCAACGAGCGCAACCCUUGUCAUUAGUUGCUACGAAAGGGCACUCUAAUGAGACUGCCGGUGACAAACCGGAGGAAGGUGGGGAUGACGUCAAGUCCUCAUGGCCCUUAUGGGUAGGGCUUCACACGUCAUACAAUGGUACAUACAGAGCGCCGCCAACCCGCGAGGGGGAGCUAAUCGCAGAAAGUGUAUCGUAGUCCGGAUUGUAGUCUGCAACUCGACUGCAUGAAGUUGGAAUCGCUAGUAAUCGCGGAUCAGCAUGUCGCGGUGAAUACGUUCCCGGGUCU
This 1352-nucleotide ribosomal RNA is filed under the name uncultured bacterium. RNAcentral's name for it is "bacterial SSU rRNA". It matches the Rfam family "Bacterial small subunit ribosomal RNA", at positions 28 to 1381 of the family's 1533-position model. The record is from RNAcentral.